RNAcentral lists this transfer RNA (72 nucleotides) under Anaerolineae bacterium. It matches the Rfam family "tRNA". From Rfam's summary of the family: Transfer RNA (tRNA) molecules are approximately 80 nucleotides in length. Their secondary structure includes four short double-helical elements and three loops (D, anti-codon, and T loops). Further hydrogen bonds mediate the characteristic L-shaped molecular structure. tRNAs have two regions of fundamental functional importance: the anti-codon, which is responsible for specific mRNA codon recognition, and the 3' end, to which the tRNAs corresponding amino acid is attached (by aminoacyl-tRNA synthetases). tRNAs cope with the degeneracy of the genetic code in two manners: having more than one tRNA (with a specific anti-codon) for a particular amino acid; and 'wobble' base-pairing, i.e. permitting non-standard base-pairing at the 3rd anti-codon position. The record is from Rfam by way of RNAcentral. Lineage: Bacteria; Bacillati; Chloroflexota; Anaerolineae.
UGGGGGAUCGUCUAAUAGGCAGGACAGCAGACUCUGGAUCUGCGUGUUGGGGUUCGAGUCCCUAUCCCCCAG